UACAGAGGGGGCAAGCGUUGUUCGGAAUUACUGGGCGUAAAGGGCGCGUAGGCGGCCUGUUAAGUCGAACGUGAAAUCCCCGGGCUCAACCCGGGAACUGCGUCCGAUACUGGCAGGCUUGAAUCCGGGAGAGGGAUGUGGAAUUCCAGGUGUAGCGGUGAAAUGCGUAGAUAUCUGGAGGAACACCGGUGGCGAAGGCGGCAUCCUGGACCGGUAUUGACGCUGAGGCGCGAAAGCGUGGGGAGCAAAAGGG
RNAcentral lists this ribosomal RNA (253 nucleotides) under uncultured bacterium. RNAcentral describes it as "partial 16S ribosomal RNA". It matches the Rfam family "Bacterial small subunit ribosomal RNA", at positions 524 to 776 of the family's 1533-position model. The record is from RNAcentral.